GUAGGUGGCAAGCGUUGUCCGGAAUUAUUGGGGCGUAAAGCGCGCGCAGGCGGUUCGUUUAAGUCUGAUGUGAGGGCCCACGGCUCAACCGUGGAGGGUCAUUGGAAACUGGAGAACUUGAGUACAGAAGAGGAAAGCGGAAUUCCACGUGUAGCGGUGAAAUGCGUAGAGAUGUGGAGGAACACCAGUGGCGAAGGCGGCUUUCUGGUCUGUAACUGACGCUGAGGCGCGAAAGCGUGGGGAGCAAACAGGAUUAGAUACCCUGGUAGUCCACGCCGUAAACGAUGAGUGCUAAGUGUUAGGGGGUUUCCGCCCCUUAGUGCUGCAGCUAACGCAUUAAGCACUCCGCCUGGGGAGUACGGCCGCAAAGGCUG
RNAcentral lists this ribosomal RNA (374 nucleotides) under uncultured organism. Its description in RNAcentral is "partial 16S ribosomal RNA". It matches the Rfam family "Bacterial small subunit ribosomal RNA", at positions 527 to 896 of the family's 1533-position model. The record is from RNAcentral.